RNAcentral lists this transfer RNA (74 nucleotides) under Candidatus Woesearchaeota archaeon. Its description in RNAcentral is "tRNA-Pro". It matches the Rfam family "tRNA". From Rfam's summary of the family: Transfer RNA (tRNA) molecules are approximately 80 nucleotides in length. Their secondary structure includes four short double-helical elements and three loops (D, anti-codon, and T loops). Further hydrogen bonds mediate the characteristic L-shaped molecular structure. tRNAs have two regions of fundamental functional importance: the anti-codon, which is responsible for specific mRNA codon recognition, and the 3' end, to which the tRNAs corresponding amino acid is attached (by aminoacyl-tRNA synthetases). tRNAs cope with the degeneracy of the genetic code in two manners: having more than one tRNA (with a specific anti-codon) for a particular amino acid; and 'wobble' base-pairing, i.e. permitting non-standard base-pairing at the 3rd anti-codon position. The record is from RNAcentral. Lineage: Archaea; Nanobdellati; Candidatus Woesearchaeota. RNAcentral also lists the same sequence under 1 other name.
GGGGCUGUGGUCUAGCUUGGUAUGAUGCAACCUUGGGGUGGUUGUGAUCCCCGGUUCGAAUCCGGGCAGUCCCA